Molecule: ribosomal RNA, 126 nt
Filed under: Pteropus alecto (black flying fox)
Lineage: Eukaryota; Metazoa; Chordata; Mammalia; Chiroptera; Pteropodidae
Source: RNAcentral
GUCUAUGGCCAACCCACCCUGAACAAGCCCAAUAUAUGAUCUCAGAAGCUAAGGUGGGUCGGGCCUGGUUAGUACUUGGAUGAGAGACCACCUAGGAAGACCUAGGAAGACCAGGUGCUGUAGGAA